RNAcentral lists this ribosomal RNA (3220 nucleotides) under Brassica rapa (field mustard). RNAcentral's name for it is "eukaryotic LSU rRNA". The stretch from base 343 to 2109 matches the Rfam family "Eukaryotic large subunit ribosomal RNA". Lineage: Eukaryota; Viridiplantae; Streptophyta; Magnoliopsida; Brassicales; Brassicaceae. The record is from RNAcentral.
ACUCUCGGCAACGGAUAUCUCGGCUCUCGAUCGAUGAAGAACGAAAGCAAAAUGCGAUACUUGGUGUGAAUUGCAGAAUCCCGCGGAACCAUCGAAGUCUUUGAACGCAAGUUGCGCCCCAAGCCUUCUGGCCGAGGGCACGCCUGCCUGGGUGUCACAAAUCGUCGCCCCCAUCCUCUCGAGGAUAUGGGAUGGAAGCUGAUCUCCGCGGUUACCGCGACGCGGUUGGCCAAAACCGAAGCUAAGGACGCCGAGCGCCUUGACAUGCGGUGGUGAAUUUAAUUUCGCCAUAUAGUCGACGUUCCGUCCAAAAGCUCUUUGAUGACCCAAAGUCCUCAACGCGACCCCAGGUCAGGCGGGAUCACCCGCUGAGUUUAAGCAUAUCAAUAAGCGGAGGAAAAGAAACUAACAAGGAUUCCCUUAGUAACGGGCGAGCGAACCGGAAGAGCCCAGCUUGAAAAUCGGAUGUCUUCGGCGCUCGAAUUGUAGUCUGGAGAAGCGCCCUCAGCGACGGACCGGGCCCAAGUUCCCUGGAAAGGGCGCCAGAGAGGGUGAGAGCCCCGUCGUGUUCGGACCCUGUCGCACCACGAGGCGCUUGUCUACGAGUCGGGUUGUUUGGGAAUGCAGCCCCAAUCGGGCGGUAAAUUCCGGCCCAAGGCUAAAUAUGGGCGAGAGACCGAUAAAUAACAAGUACCGCGAGGUAAAGAUGAAAAGGACUUUGAAAAGAGAGUCAAAGAGUGCUUGAAAUUGUCGGAGGGAAGCGGAUGGGGCCGGCGAGCGCGCCCUGGUCGGAUGCGGAACGGAGCAAUCCGUCCGCCGAUCGAUUCGGGCGUGGACCGACGCGGAUUAAGGUGGUGACCUAAGCCCGGCUUUUUGUUACGCCCGCGGAGACGCCGCUGCCUUUAAUCGCGGGUCUGCAGCACGCGCCUUCACGGCGUGCCUCGCAUCUGCGUGUUCAGGGCGCCGGCCUGUGGGCUCCCAUUCGACCCGCCUUGAAACACGGACCAAGGAGUCUGACAUGUGCGAAGUCAACGGGUGAGUAAACCCGUAAGGCGCAAGGAAGCUGAUUGGCUGGAUCCCUCACGGUGCACAGCCGACCGACCUUGAUCUUCCGAGAAGGGUUCGAAAGUGUGAGCAUGCCUGUCGGGACCCAAAGAUGGUGAACUAUGCCUGAGCGGGCGGCAGAGGAAACUUCUGGUGGAGGCCCGCAGCGAUAUCGACGUGCAAAUCGCUCGUCUGACUUGGGUAUAGGGCUUAAAGACUAAUCGAACCAUCUAGUAGCUGGUUCCUCCAAGUUUCCCUCAGGAUAGCUGGAGCUCGGAAACGAAGUUCUAUCGGGUAAAGCCAAUGAUUAGAGGCAUCGGGGACGAAUGUCCUCGACCUAUUCUCAAACUUUAAAUAGGUAGGACGGGGUGGCUGCUUUGUUGAGCCAUCCCACGGAAUCGAGAGCUCCAAGUGGGCCAUUUUGGUAAGCAGAACUGGCGAUGCGGGAUGAACCGGAAGCCGGGUUACGGUGCCCAACUGCGCGCUAACCUAGAACCCACAAAGGGUGUUGGUCGAUUAAGACAGCAGGACGGUGGUCAUGGAAGUCGAAAUCCGCUAAGGAGUGUGUAACAACUCACCUGCCGAAUCAACUAGCCCCGAAAAUGGAUGGCGCUGAAGCGCGCGACCUAUACCCAGCCGUCGGGGCAAGAGCCAGGCCUCGAUGAGUAGGAGGGUGCGGCGGUCGCUGCAAAACCUAGGGGCGCGAGCCCGGCGGGAGCGGCCGUCGGUGCAGAUCUUGGUGGUAGUAGCAAAUAUUGUUAGUCGAUCCGGGGAAACCGUCGAUAGCGCUUAUCGUGAACCGAAAGGGGAUCCGGUUAAAAUUUCGGAACCGGGACGUGGCGGUUGACGGCAAUGUUAGGGAGUCCGGAGACGUCGGCGGGAAUUCCGGAAAGAGUUAUCUUUUCUGUUUAUGUUGUGGUCACGAAAUCCAUGGUUCAACCAGAGUCUCACCAAACCGUCCAAACCGGCCAUCUAGGAGGUACCAGCGACCGAGGUUCAGUCCAAGGCGUAUAUCUCUACAACCAGAAGGACUUUCAACAUGAAACCACUUUUAUUGGAUUUUAUACUCAAGAAGGAGUCCAGCCCAAUUGGAAUCGAGGCAAAUAAUUCACGGAGCAAGAAGUUAUGAAUUUUACAAGUCAGAAGUUUCCCAGCCCGUCCAUCUGCGAGUACCCGACUUUAGAAGGAGAUUCCAGCCCAAGGAAGGAGCGGCCUGAAGAAAAGCCCAUCAUUGGAGUCAAGAGAAGUUUCGCAGCUUUCCAGAAAGCCCAAUAUCAGGAGAAAUGGCCACGGAAUUAUGAAGUUAUGAUCCAAUCUCCAAAACCGGCCAAACCAGUUCUACACUUGCCUCAAUUGGAAGCUAGCCGGUUCAUUCAGCUUCAAACCAGACAUUGGGAGAUCAUUUCAACCAAUCAGGAGACAUCAUACACGGCCAAGAGGAGUUAUACAAGUCCAUACCAUGCACCAGCAGCCAUUGGAUCAGGAGGAUCCUCAUUUACUCAAACCUGCCUUAUUUGGAGCAAACCGACAUUAAUGUCCAACAGCUCUUUCCUCUUCAGUUUAGGCACGACCUCAGCACAUUCCAAGCAGUCAAGAAGGUUCCCAGGAAGCUUACUUAUCCCCUUAAACCAUCCAGGUUCAAGAAAGAUCAGAUUCUUUACUUGGAGCCAAAAUCCCACAAAAGGCUCCAACGGCUAGUUUUCGAUUUCUUUCUUAGUUUUCAAUUUGUUUCCUUUUCUAUUUGUUUUAGAACGUUAGGAUCUUUGUCUCUGAGCAUUAUAUAAGCUCCUAGACGUCCAUUGUAAAGAACACCCUUAAUCACCAAGUUAAUAAAAAGUUUAUUCAGUUUUAUCAAAGUUGUUCUUUGUAUAAAAUAUCGGUCUUUAGGAUUCAAAGAGAGAUUCUUUGUUGUCUUAUUGAUUUCGUGAGUCUAGUUUGUUUGUGAAAAUCAAACAAGCUCAGUACACAUAUUGAGAGAGUCAAUCACUUCGAUCCAUCAUUCCAUCAGAUUGAGAGAUUCAAUCAAACCUUCCUCCGCAAAUCCACUUCAGUUCAUCCUUUAAUCAAGCUGAGAGUGAUACACAUCCAGCAGCUUGAUUCCAUUCUAUUCUUUGUUUAUUUAUCUUGUUUUAUUAUCAUUAUCAUCAUCAUCUCAUUUGUUUUCAUAUUUGUUUCU